This 349-nucleotide ribosomal RNA is filed under the name Lodderomyces parapsilosis. Its description in RNAcentral is "eukaryotic LSU rRNA". It matches the Rfam family "Eukaryotic large subunit ribosomal RNA", at positions 415 to 781 of the family's 3401-position model. Lineage: Eukaryota; Fungi; Ascomycota; Pichiomycetes; Serinales; Debaryomycetaceae. The record is from RNAcentral.
GGAAGGGCUUGAGAUCAGACUUGGUAUUUUGUAUGUUACUCUCUCGGGGGUGGCCUCUACAGUUUACCGGGCCAGCAUCAGUUUGAGCGGUAGGAUAAGUGCACAGAAAUGUGGCACAUCCUUCGGUAGGUGUGUUAUAGUCUUUGUCGAUACUGCCAGCCUUAGACUGAGGACUGCGGCUUCGGCCUAGGAUGUUGGCAUAAUGAUCUUAAGUCGCCCGUCUUGAAACACGGACCAAGGAGUCUAACGUCUAUGCGAGUGUUUGGGUGUAAAACCCGUACGCGUAAUGAAAGUGAACGUAGGUAGGACCUCCUUUAGGAGUGCACUAUCGACCGAUCCUGAUGUCUUC